RNAcentral lists this ribosomal RNA (609 nucleotides) under uncultured archaeon. RNAcentral's name for it is "bacterial SSU rRNA". It matches the Rfam family "Archaeal small subunit ribosomal RNA", at positions 52 to 670 of the family's 1478-position model. The record is from RNAcentral.
UGCGAGUCGAGAGGUGCAAGACCUCGGCGUACUGCUCAGUAACACGUGGAUAACCUACCCUGUGGAGGGGGAUAACCCCGGGAAACUGGGGAUAAUACCCCAUAGGUUAGGGUGGCUGGAAUGCCCCCUAGCUCAAAGGUCCGCCGCCACAGGAUGGGUCUGCGCCCGAUUAGGUUGUUGUUGGGGUAACGGCCCAACGAGCCUUUGAUCGGUACGGGUUGUGGGAGCAAGUGCCCGGAGAUGGAUUCUGAGACACGAAUCCAGGCCCUACGGGGCGCAGCAGGCGCGAAAACUUUACAAUGCGAGAAAUCGUGAUAAGGGAACCCCGAGUGCCCGUAAAUUCGGGCUGUCCGCCAGUGCAAAAAACUGGCGAAGAAAGAGCCGGGCAAGACCGGUGCCAGCCGCCGCGGUAACACCGGCGGCUCGAGUGGUGGUCACUAUUACUGGGCUUAAAGCGUCCGUAGCUUGGUUGUUAAGUCUCUUGGGAAAUCCACCGGCUCAACCGAUGGGCGUCAGGAGAUACUGGCAACCUAGGGACCGGGAGAGGUGAGGGGUACUCCAGGGGUAGGAGUGAAAUCCUGUAAUCCUUGGGGGACCACCUGUGGCGAA